GCCAGACUCCUACGGGAGGCAGCAGUGGGGGAUAUUGCACAAUGGGGGGAACCCUGAUGCAGCGACGCCGCGUGGGUGAAGGAGCGUUUCGGCGCGUAAAGCCCUAUCGGCAGGGAAGAAGGAGGACGGUACCUGACUAAGAAGCCCCGGCUAACUACGUGCCAGCAGCCGCGGUAAUACGUAGGGGGCAAGCGUUAUCCGGAUUUACUGGGUGUAAAGGGGGCGCAGACGGCAGCGCAAGCCAGGAGUGAAAGCCCGGGGCCCAACCCCGGGACUGCUCUUGGAACUGCGCGGCUGGAGUGCAGGAGGGGCAGGCGGAAUUCCUGGUGUAGCGGUGAAAUGCGUAGAUAUCAGGAGGAACACCGGUGGCGAGGGCGGCCUGCUGGACUGCGACUGACGUUGAGGCCCGAAAGCGUGGGGAGCAAACAGGAUUAGAUACCCGUGUACGC
Molecule: ribosomal RNA, 449 nt
Filed under: uncultured bacterium
Lineage: Bacteria
Description: partial 16S ribosomal RNA
Rfam family: Bacterial small subunit ribosomal RNA
Source: RNAcentral